RNAcentral lists this transfer RNA (75 nucleotides) under Ectocarpus siliculosus. RNAcentral's name for it is "tRNA-Arg". It matches the Rfam family "tRNA". From Rfam's summary of the family: Transfer RNA (tRNA) molecules are approximately 80 nucleotides in length. Their secondary structure includes four short double-helical elements and three loops (D, anti-codon, and T loops). Further hydrogen bonds mediate the characteristic L-shaped molecular structure. tRNAs have two regions of fundamental functional importance: the anti-codon, which is responsible for specific mRNA codon recognition, and the 3' end, to which the tRNAs corresponding amino acid is attached (by aminoacyl-tRNA synthetases). tRNAs cope with the degeneracy of the genetic code in two manners: having more than one tRNA (with a specific anti-codon) for a particular amino acid; and 'wobble' base-pairing, i.e. permitting non-standard base-pairing at the 3rd anti-codon position. Lineage: Eukaryota; Phaeophyceae; Ectocarpales; Ectocarpaceae. The record is from RNAcentral. RNAcentral also lists the same sequence under 12 other names.
UGGGCUCAUCGUCUAAUGGAUAAAGACCGAAACCUUCUAAGUUUCUAAUGUAGGUUCAAUUCCUUCUGAGCCUGG